This is a long non-coding RNA of Triticum aestivum (bread wheat), 621 nucleotides long. RefSeq lists it as uncharacterized. The record is from RefSeq and is a predicted model, not a curated record. The transcript is spliced from 2 exons. Lineage: Eukaryota; Viridiplantae; Streptophyta; Magnoliopsida; Poales; Poaceae.
CCCCAUGGUCUCCACCAGCGUCCCUGCGGAGUACAUGGGAGCCGCCGCUGCCGCCGGGGACAAGGAUACACAUGGAAACCGCCACAGCCUUAGGCACGCCUGCGGGCUAGCCUAUGCCUACUAUAUCCGGUGUUCUGGUGCAUCCGGUGCGACCUCAAAGAAUACAUUCUUCUAGCUGAGCUUUGAGCUCCUCAGGGACGAUGCCUGGGGUGGAAGCAGUUCAACUGCACGAUGAAGAAGUGAGUUAAGGGGUUAAGACGGUUGCGUUGGGCGUGCCCUGCUUGCUUGCUGGUGAGUGUUGCCUCUGUGACUAGGUGUUCAUUGCUGUCUAUGCUCUCUGUAGUUUAAGGUGUUUGUUCUUUUAGCAGCCAUUAAAAUACCGCAAUGUAAACGACUGUCUUCUCUAUGUCUACAACACGCACUAGAAGUAUGGAACUAAUGGCAGUGUUUUGUCUAUACAAGAUAUUAGUAUAUUAUACAUGUUUUUGAUUCUGAGGGUAUUAUAAAUUAGUAUAGACUAUCUAUCAUUCAGUUUUCGCAUAGAAGUUCAGUUUCCUUGCGUAUGGUUUUAUCAAAAGAAAUAUAGAUUAUCCCUAGGCUGUCCAUUUAUAGGUUCAAGGA